RNAcentral lists this ribosomal RNA (1047 nucleotides) under marine metagenome. RNAcentral's name for it is "bacterial LSU rRNA". It matches the Rfam family "Bacterial large subunit ribosomal RNA", at positions 1083 to 2120 of the family's 2925-position model. The record is from RNAcentral.
GCCAAGACAGCCAGGAGGUUGGCUUAGAAGCAGCCAUCCUUUAAAGAAAGCGUAAUAGCUCACUGGUCGAGUCGGUCCGCGCGGAAGAUUUAACGGGGCUAAGUAAUGUACCGAAGCUACGGAUGUAAAUUUAUUUACAUGGUAGAGGAGCGUUCUGUAAGUCUGUGAAGGUGAAUCGUAAGGUUUGCUGGAGAUAUCAGAAGUGCGAAUGCUGACAUAAGUAACGAUAAUGCGGGUGAAAAACCCGCACGCCGAAAACCCAAGGUUUCCUGCGCAACGCUAAUCGGCGCAGGGUUAGUCGGUACCUAAGGCGAGGCCGAAAGGCGUAGUCGAUGGAAAACAGGUUAAUAUUCCUGUACCACUAAAUACUGCGAUGGGGGGACGGAGAAGGCUAGGUGAUCAGGGUGAUGGUUAUCCCUGUAUAAGCUUGUAGAAAGAUUUCUUAGGAAAAUCCGGGAAAUUAAUUUCGAGAAGUGAUGUCGAGCUCAAUUGCGAGCGAAGUCAUUGAUGCCAUGCUUCCAAGAAAAGCCUCUAAGCUCUAGGUAUAUAGUGGCCGUACUCUAAACCGACACAGGUGAUCAGGUAGAGAAUACUAAGGCGCUUGAGAGAACUCUGGUGAAGGAACUAGGCAAAAUGGUACCGUAACUUCGGGAGAAGGUGCGCCCUUGUCGGUGAUUAGACUUGCUCUAUGAGCUAAUGAGGGUCGCAGUGACCUGGUGGCUGCAACUGUUUAUUAAAAACACAGCACUCUGCAAACACGUAAGUGGACGUAUAGGGUGUGACGCCUGCCCGGUGCCGGAAGGUUAAUUGAUGGGGUUAGCUUCGGCGAAGCUCUUGAUUGAAGCCCCGGUAAACGGCGGCCGUAACUAUAACGGUCCUAAGGUAGCGAAAUUCCUUGUCGGGUAAGUUCCGACCUGCACGAAUGGCGUAACGAUGGCCACACUGUCUCCACCAUAGACUCAGUGAAAUUGAAAUCGCUGUUAAGAUGCAGUGUACCCGCGGCUAGACGGAAAGACCCCGUGAACCUUUACUAUAGCUUCACAGUGG